This 1562-nucleotide ribosomal RNA is filed under the name Vibrio parahaemolyticus. RNAcentral describes it as "bacterial SSU rRNA". It matches the Rfam family "Bacterial small subunit ribosomal RNA". The record is from RNAcentral. Lineage: Bacteria; Pseudomonadati; Pseudomonadota; Gammaproteobacteria; Vibrionales; Vibrionaceae.
AAAUUGAAGAGUUUGAUCAUGGCUCAGAUUGAACGCUGGCGGCAGGCCUAACACAUGCAAGUCGAGCGGAAACGAGUUAUCUGAACCUUCGGGGAACGAUAGCGGCGUCGAGCGGCGGACGGGUGAGUAAUGCCUAGGAAAUUGCCCUGAUGUGGGGGAUAACCAUUGGAAACGAUGGCUAAUACCGCAUGAUGCCUACGGGCCAAAGAGGGGGACCUUCGGGCCUCUCGCGUCAGGAUAUGCCUAGGUGGGAUUAGCUAGUUGGUGAGGUAAGGGCUCACCAAGGCGACGAUCCCUAGCUGGUCUGAGAGGAUGAUCAGCCACACUGGAACUGAGACACGGUCCAGACUCCUACGGGAGGCAGCAGUGGGGAAUAUUGCACAAUGGGCGCAAGCCUGAUGCAGCCAUGCCGCGUGUGUGAAGAAGGCCUUCGGGUUGUAAAGCACUUUCAGUCGUGAGGAAGGUAGUGUAGUUAAUAGCUGCAUUAUUUGACGUUAGCGACAGAAGAAGCACCGGCUAACUCCGUGCCAGCAGCCGCGGUAAUACGGAGGGUGCGAGCGUUAAUCGGAAUUACUGGGCGUAAAGCGCAUGCAGGUGGUUUGUUAAGUCAGAUGUGAAAGCCCGGGGCUCAACCUCGGAAUUGCAUUUGAAACUGGCAGACUAGAGUACUGUAGAGGGGGGUAGAAUUUCAGGUGUAGCGGUGAAAUGCGUAGAGAUCUGAAGGAAUACCGGUGGCGAAGGCGGCCCCCUGGACAGAUACUGACACUCAGAUGCGAAAGCGUGGGGAGCAAACAGGAUUAGAUACCCUGGUAGUCCACGCCGUAAACGAUGUCUACUUGGAGGUUGUGGCCUUGAGCCGUGGCUUUCGGAGCUAACGCGUUAAGUAGACCGCCUGGGGAGUACGGUCGCAAGAUUAAAACUCAAAUGAAUUGACGGGGGCCCGCACAAGCGGUGGAGCAUGUGGUUUAAUUCGAUGCAACGCGAAGAACCUUACCUACUCUUGACAUCCAGAGAACUUUCCAGAGAUGGAUUGGUGCCUUCGGGAACUCUGAGACAGGUGCUGCAUGGCUGUCGUCAGCUCGUGUUGUGAAAUGUUGGGUUAAGUCCCGCAACGAGCGCAACCCUUAUCCUUGUUUGCCAGCGAGUAAUGUCGGGAACUCCAGGGAGACUGCCGGUGAUAAACCGGAGGAAGGUGGGGACGACGUCAAGUCAUCAUGGCCCUUACGAGUAGGGCUACACACGUGCUACAAUGGCGCAUACAGAGGGCGGCCAACUUGCGAAAGUGAGCGAAUCCCAAAAAGUGCGUCGUAGUCCGGAUUGGAGUCUGCAACUCGACUCCAUGAAGUCGGAAUCGCUAGUAAUCGUGGAUCAGAAUGCCACGGUGAAUACGUUCCCGGGCCUUGUACACACCGCCCGUCACACCAUGGGAGUGGGCUGCAAAAGAAGUAGGUAGUUUAACCUUCGGGGGGACGCUUACCACUUUGUGGUUCAUGACUGGGGUGAAGUCGUAACAAGGUAGCGCUAGGGGAACCUGGCGCUGGAUCACCUCCUUAUACGAUGAU